Gasterosteus aculeatus aculeatus (three-spined stickleback) is the source of this 1244-nucleotide long non-coding RNA. Lineage: Eukaryota; Metazoa; Chordata; Actinopteri; Perciformes; Gasterosteidae. The record is from Ensembl.
GUUGUCUCCGUUAUUCAAAAGGACACCUUAUCAGCCGGGGGCGACUCGUAUUAGCCUUCUCCACUGUGCGCUCCACACAAUGAUGUUCUACACUGUUCCACAUUAACUCUGGUGUCUAUUUCAGCAGCUCUCUAUCCAUUUAUUGAUGCAUGUCUUCCAUCGAUCCCGCCAUUGAUUCGUCAUGCAAUCCAUUACCCAUCUGUCUGUUUCAGCUGGCUUUUAAAUGAUCCAUCAGAUUGAGCUAUUAAGCAGAGUAGUGGAGAAGUCCAAAGGUUGGUGAUACAUUCAGCGAGAGAGGGGUGCUCUGUGUGUGUGUGUGUGUGUGUGUGUGUGUGUCUUGGGUAUUGGUACAUUGGAAUUAUUUCAGGCCUUUCAAAGUGUGCUGUGAUUUGAUAUUUAACCAAUUGUGAUAGUGAGUGUGGACCUUAUGAACAGAACUCAUUACAGAGGAAUAUACAGGGCUUGAUGUUGAAGAUAAAUAAAUUGAAACUAUGGUGAGCCUUUAAUCUGCCUGUAAGAACACACUUUCAGGAAACAAGAAAAUGCCACCAGCCAAACGGAGACGUGGGGGGCUGAGACGGCGGCUGUUCCAGAUAGAGAUGCGAGAUGGAUUCAUAUAUAUUCAUGAAUUCAGUCAGAAAAGUCAAACGGAAGCAGUAUGAUAAUCUUGCAGUAAUUGCAUUUUUCCCUCCAACUGUUUUUGGCAGAGCAGAGAGCCACGUUCAGACACGCGGGAUGGGGAAUACAGUCUCGAGGAGCCGUGAACAGUGGAUACCCUCUGACCCCCGUACCUAAGAUUCAUUUGAUGUCCUGACCUCUGACUGAAGAACUUUUUAAUUUUCUGACUGUGCACUCUUUCUCUUCCGGGCCCCAGGAAAUGCCUUACAAAAAAAAAAAAAAAAAAGAAACAUUCAAAGGACCAUAUUUCAAACUAUCAAGCUUUUUUUUCUCUCCAUACAUGUCAGUCUGCUGUCAGCAGCCGUCUGAAAAGUGCUGACAUUGCUGCCCUCCUGUCCGGCAGCCCGCUCCCUCUGUGUGAACUUGGAUUUAGCUCAAGGGUAUAGCCACCCUGCUAAUGUGAUGUAGCUCCGAGAAGGAAACAAAUUGGCCUGACGUCUCAUACGCUGCCUUGUCUUGAUUGUGUGAUGGCUUCUACUGCUAAUGUGUUACGAUGGGUAGACCUGCGCAGGGAGGGAGACGGGUUUGUGUGUGUGUGUGUGUGUGUGUGUGUGUGUUACAUGGAG